This 253-nucleotide ribosomal RNA is filed under the name uncultured bacterium. RNAcentral describes it as "partial 16S ribosomal RNA". It matches the Rfam family "Bacterial small subunit ribosomal RNA", at positions 524 to 775 of the family's 1533-position model. The record is from RNAcentral.
UACGUAGGGUGCAAGCGUUGUCCGGAAUUAUUGGGCGUAAAGAGCUCGUAGGCGGUUUGUCGCGUCUGCUGUGAAAACUGGAGGCUCAACCUCCAGCCUGCAGUGGGUACGGGCAGACUAGAGUGCGGUAGGGGAGAUUGGAAUUCCUGGUGUAGCGGUGGAAUGCGCAGAUAUCAGGAGGAACACCGAUGGCGAAGGCAGAUCUCUGGGCCGUAACUGGACGCUGAGGAGCGAAAGCAUGGGGAGCGAACAG